UAGCUAAUUUGACGCAGCACAGAGUGGCAAGCGCUUCUGCAAGACACAUAGUGGCUGUGCAGGCAACUCGGUGUGAUUAACUUCUCCGACUUUUCUUCUUAAGGCAUCUAACUUAAGUCUAGUGUUUAGACGAGAUGGAGGACGAAAAUGAUCCCGUGGCUAUGCUACGAGUCGACAAGAAGGCUCUACUAGCAGCAAACAAGGAGUUUGAAGCCAAGAAAUGGGUUUGGAUAUCAGAUCCCAAGGAAGGCUACAAAGCUGCUGAGGUUAAAAGUACCAAGGGAGAUACAUUGGUGGUUGAGACCAACGAUGGCAAAGAAGAGACCGUGAAAAAGGACAACACGGAACAGAUGAACCCUCCGAAAUUCGAGAAGACAGAGGACAUGGCAAACUUGACAUACCUCAACGAAGCUAGCGUUAUCCAUAAUUUAAAGCAGAGAUACUUUGGAGGUCUAAUUUAUACCUACUCUGGGCUUUUUUGUGUUGCUAUCAACCCUUACCGCCGUCUCCCAAUCUACACAGACAAAGUUGUGUUUGCAUACAGAGGAAAGAGGAAGAAUGAGAUGCCACCACACGUCUUCUCUAUUUGCGACAAUGCCUACCAAAACAUGUUGCAAGAUCGUGAAAACCAGUCUAUGUUGAUCACUGGUGAAUCUGGAGCAGGGAAGACAGAAAAUACGAAAAAAGUCAUCCAAUACCUGGCUCAUGUGUCAGGAGGACUUUCCCACAAAGACGAGAAAAAAUCGGGUGGCUCUCUUGAAGAUCAAGUUAUCCAAACCAACCCUAUUCUUGAAGCUUACGGCAAUGCCAAAACUAUCAGAAACAACAACUCCUCUCGAUUCGGAAAGUUUAUUCGUUGUCACUUUGGACCCCAGGGAAAACUGGCUGGAGCCGACAUUGAACAAUAUCUGCUCGAAAAAUCUCGUGUGAUCUUCCAGCAAGAAAUCGAGAGAAACUAUCACAUCUUCUACCAAAUCCUCAAAGGAGGAUCAAAAGAACUGCAUGCUGAUCUUCUGCUGGACAGCAACAGGAAAGAUGAAUACGCUUUCCUCGCAAAAGGAGCAGAAAUUGCUGAGGGUAUCGACGAUGUAGAGGAAUUCCAUAAUACUGAGGUUGCUGCCGACACUCUUGGCUUCACUCCAGAGGAAAAGAUUAGCAUGUACAAAAUCUGUGCUGCAUGUCUUCAUUGGGGAAAUGGGAAAUUCAAGCAAAGACCACGAGAAGAACAAGCAGAAGUUGCUGACCCGAAAGAUCUCGAUAAGGUUUCAUUCUUGCUCAAGCUUCCUGGAGCUGAUUUCAUCAAGAACAUCAUCAAACCAAGAAUUAAAGUCGGACGUGAAUAUGUUAACCAAGGACGUAACGUACAACAGGUUCAUUACUCCAUUGGUGCANUGACUAAGAGUUUGUACGAAAGAAUGUUCUUGUGGCUUGUCGACAAGGCAAACCAGACUCUAAUGACCAAGGACAGACGUGCCUUCUUCAUUGGUGUGUUGGAUAUCGCAGGCUUUGAAAUUUUCCAGUUCAACUCUUUUGAGCAGCUUUGCAUCAACGUCACAAAUGAAAAGCUUCAACAGUUCUUCAACCAUCACAUGUUCGUUCUGGAGCAAGAAGAGUACAAGAGAGAGGGUAUCCAUUGGGAGUUCAUCGACUUUGGUCUUGAUUUGCUUCCAACCAUUGAUCUCAUCUUUGCAAAGGGAACUGGUAUUUUUGCCGUCCUUGAGGAGGAGUGCAUCGUACCCAAGGCAACUGAUCAAACUCUCUUGAGCAAACUCAUGAGUACUCAUGAUGGUAAAUCAGUCAAGUUUGGUAAACCAAAGAUCAGUGGCAAGAAGACCAUCAACUACCACUUCGAGAUCCACCAUUACGCUGGUACUGUAGGUUAUAACAUUGACAGCUGGCUGGACAAAAACAAGGACCCCAUAAAUGAAGCCGUGGCUGGAAUCUUCGCCAAGUCUGGCGAUCCAUUCAUUGCCCAGUUGUGGAAAGACUACGCAACUGAAGGCCACAGCAGAAAAGGUGGUUCCUUCAUGACUGUCAGUGCCAAACACAAGGAACAACUGAACAAGUUGAUGGACACCCUUUAUUCAACUUCUCCUCACUUCGUUCGUUGCAUCAUCCCCAACGAAAUGAAAAAAGCUGGAGUAAUUGACACAAACUUGGUUCUUCACCAACUGAGAUGUAACGGUGUGCUUGAGGGUAUNCGUAUCUGCCGAAAAGGUUUCCCCAACAGAAUUCCCUUCCAAGAAUUCAAACAGAGAUACCAGAUCCUUGCACCUACUGCGUGCUCCGGACAAUUCAUGGAUGGUAAAAAGGCAUGCGAGAAAUUGCUUGGAGCCUUGACUCUUGAAGAGAAUGAGUACAGAAUUGGUACAACCAAAGUGUUCUUCAGAGCUGGUGUUUUGGGUCAACUUGAAGACAUGCGUGAUGAGCGACUUGCAAAGAUCAUCUCUAUGUUCCAAGCUUACUGCAAAGGUUUUCUUAUGCGAAAGGAGUAUCGCAAGAUGUGCGACCAGAGAAUCGGAAUUUCAGUCAUCCAGAGAAACGUCCGAAAGUAUCUGUACCUGAGAAACUGGAACUGGUGGAAGCUGUAUACAAAGGUGAAGCCUCUACUUCAAGUUGCACGUGCUGACGAAGAGAUGAAACAGAAGAUGGAACAGUUGAAAGAAAUCGAAGAGAAAGCCGCCAAGGAAGAGGCACUGCGAAAAGAACUCGAAGAAAAAUACACCAAACUUGUUGAAGAGAAAAACCAGCUUUUCCAAGAUUUAGAGAGGGAGCAAGAUGCAUCCGCAGACGCCGAGGAAAGAGCCGCCGCGUUAGAAGCAAAAAAGAACGAUCUCGAAGCUCAACUGAAAGAAAUGUCAGACCAGCUUGAAGAUGAGGAAGACGCCAGCGCCGAGCUCUCCAAUGUAAAACAUAAAUUAGAAUCUGAAAUAUCCGAAAUGAAACAAGACAUCGAAGAACUCGACAGCGCUCUCAAAAAGGCUGAGGAAGAGGGCAAGCAAAAAGAUAAGAAUAUCGAACAGCUCAACGAAGAGUUGCAACAACAAGAUGAAGCUAUCGCAAAGGUCUCUAAACAGAAGAAGCAAGUCGAAGAGCAGUGCGCGGAACUCGAGGACCAAUUACAAGAAGAACAAAACAAAGUUAACCAUCUUAACAAAGUUAAAACAAAAUUAGAACAAGAACUCGACGAGACACAAAUGAACUGGGAAAGAGAAAAGAAACUCCGAGCAGAUGUCGAGAAAGUAAAACGAAAGGUUGAGGGUGAGCUCAAGUCAACACAAGACACUCUUGCAGAAGUCGAGGCAGCGAAACAAAAAUCCGAGGAAGAAGUCAAAAAGCGCGACCAAAAUAUUUCUCAGUUGAAUUCAAAAAUAGACGACCAAUCAUCUCUCAUCGAACAGUUAAAGAAAAAGAUCAAACAACUCGAGGCCCGAAUCGCCGAACUUGAAGAAGAACUAGAAAAUGAAAGAAACAACCGCAGCAAGGCCGAACGAGCACGAAACGAACUCGAACAAGAACUAGAUGACUUGAAUGACAGACUUGACGAAGCUGGCGGUGCAACUGCAGCUCAGAUGGAUCUAAACAAAAAACGAGAACAAGACAUUGUCAAACUCCGAAAGGAUUUAGAAGAGCAAGCGUUAGCAAACGAACAGACUGUCAAUAGCAUGCGCGCCAAACAAAACCAAGCUCUACAAGAAAUGCAGGAUGAACUGGACAACGUCAAAAAGUCCAAACAAAAACUCGAAAAAGAAAAAAGCCUGCUUCAAAACGAAGGAGAUGACCUCGCUGUUACCGUGGAAACUUUGCAGAAGCAGAAACAAGCAGCAGAAAAAAAUAACCGCGCCCUGAACGAUUCUCUCAAUGAAGCUAAAUCACAGAANGAUGAAUUUAGAAAGACAAUAAGUGAACUCGAAGUCGUCAGAGGACGUUUCACUCAAGAAAAUGCCGAAUUGGGCAGAGUUGUCGAGGAACUCGAAAACAAAAAUUCGCAACUCGGAAAGAACAAAAAGAACCUCGAACAACAGCUAGAAGAAUUCAAGAAACAGCUUGAAGACGAAAUGCGCGCGAAAGCAGAAGCUGCCAAUCGACUGAAAAACCUCGAGGCAGACUAUGACACACUUCAAGAAAACUUUGAAGAACUCGAAGAUGGCAAAGCCGACAUGCAGAAACAACUUUCUCGUGCUAAUACAGAACUUCAACAAUGGAAAAACAAAUACGAGCAAGAAGGAGUAGCCAAACUUGAAGAACUUGAGGAUGCCAAGCGAAAAAUGGCCGCUAAGCUCUCAGAAACGGAGGAAGCUCUGAAUGCUGCCCUCACUAAAGCCGCCAGUGCUGAGAAAGCCAAGAACAGNCUCAACAGUGAACUUGAGGAUGCUAUCAUUGACUUGGAGAAGGCUACUACCAAUAACUCUGCAUUAGAGAAACGGCAGAAGAANAUCGACCAAGAAAUCAAUGAAUGGAAAGCCAAACUUGACGAAGUUCAAAGUGACUUGGACAUGGCCCAGAAAGAAGCCAGAAACUAUUCCACUGAGAUGUAUAGACUCAAAGGAACAAACGACGAACUCAANGAGCUCCUCGAGUCACUCAAACGAGAGAACAAAGCCCUUCAAGGCGAGGUUGCUGAUUUGGGUGACCAGCUUGGCGAGGGAGGCAAGAGCGUUGUUGAACUUGGCAAACUGAAGAAACGUCUUGAGAUGGAGAAGGAAGAAUUGCAGACCGCUGUUGAGGAAGCCGAAGGUGCUUUGGAGGCAGAGGAAGGAAAGGUCCUCAAGAUUCAACUUGAGUUAACCCAACUCAGGCAAGAAUUCGAGCGCAAGCUUGCUGACCGAGAUGAAGAAAUUGACAAUCUCAGGAAGAACCAACAACGCCAACUUGAUGCUCUCCAAGGAUCUCUUGAUAACGAAGUUAAGGCCAAGAAUGAACAGGCCCGUCUCAGGAAGAAGUUUGAGAGUGACUGCAUUGAACUUGAGAACAACUGUGAAAAUCUCAUGCGGGGCAACCAAGAGUUCCAGAAAAAUGUCAAGAAACUCCAGCAACAAGUGAAAGACCUGCAACUCAUGGUUGAAGAGGAACAACGUGGACGUGACGACGCCCGUGACGCUAGUGCUCGUGCUGAGCGCCGUGUUGGAGAGCUUUCUGCUGAACUUGAAGAUUUGAGAAACCAACUCGAACAGGCUGACCGUGCAAGACGUGCAGCUGACCAAGAGAAAAGCGAGGCUGUUGACAGAGUUACAGAGCUCACCACCCAAACCAACAACCUUCAACAGGCCAAACGUAAACUGGAUGGACAAAUCAGCACAAUGCAAGAUGAGCUUGAUGAUGCUGAAAACGAAGCCAAGGCAGCUGAUGAACGUGCCAAGAAGGCCGCUGCUGAUCUUCUUCGAGUUCAAGCNGAUCUUCUUUCUGCCCAAGAUGCUGCUGGUGCUGCUGAACGCGCACGCUUGUCUGCUGAGCGCAUCCAGAAUGAGCUGCAGAUGAANAUCGAGGAACUUGAAGCUGCUGGUGGAAAGGCUCUCAAAAACCAAAUCAAGAAACUUGAACAGAGAGUGAAGGAGCUCGAGCGUGACUUGGACACAGAAGCCAAACGCAGCAACGAAUCUCAGAAACUUGCAAAGAAGAACGAGCGCCGAAUGAAGGAAAUCCAAUUCCAGGCUGACGAGGACCAGAAGAACUUAUCCCGCGCCCAAGAAAAUUCUGAAAGACUUAACAAUAAAAUCAAGAAAAUGCGCGUUGCGGUUGAAGAGGCGGAAGCACUUGCUGCUUCAAAUCUCGCUCGUUACCGCAAGGUCCAGGGAGAGCUUGAGGAAGCCGAAGAGAGGAUUGAAGGAUUGGAAAGCUCCCUGCAAAAGGCUCGUGGUCGUGGCGGUGGCCGUUCAAGUGGUGUGAUGAGGACAUCAUCAAGAGAGACCUCUAAACGACGUCAGAAGUGAAUAAGGAUUCCCAAAUAUGAGAAAUAGAAAGAAACACUACUAAAAAACCUACAGUACAUCUCGUAGGGGCUAUUCAUCUACUAGAAGUGGAUCAUCAGCAUCAUUAGACGACGAAUAAAGAAUUUCUUGAAUUAAACGCACAUAAACAAAACUUUUUAUUAGUAUAAUCAACUAACUCAAUGAGCACAACAAUUUCUAAUGAUCUUAUAUUAGUAUUUGUAUUACCCUCAAAAUCCAAAGUAACUAGUACAAAAACGGAGUUUGAUACUUCUUCUAGAGCCUUUUCAACUAUGGCUGUUUAUCUUAGAGAGGUGCGGCCGUUGAUUGCGAGGCUUGUACUAGCUAAGGGCUCUAUUAAGUACAUUUUUUGUAUUCAGAACAAUAUUAGGAUAUUUUUUCUAUUUUCUAGUCGGAGAAAUAAGANCCAGUUAGCAUCAUUGCCAUGGUUGUGUAGAGUCAGCCAUUUUGUGUUGUUGUAAUAGAAGUGCACUUAUUAAACAAGGUGAAUCUAAU
RNAcentral lists this unclassified non-coding RNA (6443 nucleotides) under Exaiptasia diaphana. RNAcentral's name for it is "myosin heavy chain, striated muscle, transcript variant X1". The record is from RNAcentral. Lineage: Eukaryota; Metazoa; Cnidaria; Anthozoa; Actiniaria; Aiptasiidae.